RNAcentral lists this ribosomal RNA (331 nucleotides) under uncultured eukaryote. RNAcentral describes it as "partial 18S ribosomal RNA". It matches the Rfam family "Eukaryotic small subunit ribosomal RNA", at positions 1470 to 1796 of the family's 1831-position model. The record is from RNAcentral.
CCCUUAGAUGUUCUGGGCCGCACGCGCGCUACACUGACGAAGUCAGCGAGCAUGUCCUACGCCGACAGGUGCGGGGAAUCUUGUCAAACUUCGUCGUGAUGGGGAUUGAUUAUUGAAAUUCUUGAUCAUCAACGAGGAAUUCCUAGUAAGCGCAAGUCAGCAGCUUUCGUUGAUUACGUCCCUGCCCUUUGUACACACCGCCCGUCGCUACUACCGAUUGAAUGGUUUAGUGAGAUCUUCGGAUUGGCGCCACUGCGGCUCAGCAAUGGGCUCGGUGGAUGCCGAAAAGUUGAUCAAACUUGAUCAUUUAGAGGAAGUAAAAGUCGUAACA